AGCGAACGCUGGCGGCAGGCUUAACACAUGCAAGUCGAGCGGGCACUUUCGGGUGUCAGCGGCGGACGGGUGAGUAACGCGUGGGAACGUGCCCUCUGGUUCGGAAUAACUCAGGGAAACUUGAGCUAAUACCGGAUACGCCCUUUUGGGGAAAGGCUUGCUGCCGGAGGAUCGGCCCGCGUCUGAUUAGCUAGUUGGUGAGGUAACGGCUCACCAAGGCGACGAUCAGUAGCUGGUCUGAGAGGAUGAUCAGCCACACUGGGACUGAGACGCGGCCCAGACUCCUACGGGAAGCAGCAGUGGGGAAUAUUGGACAAUGGGCGCAAGCCUGAUCCAGCCAUGCCGCGUGAGUGAUGAAGGCCUUAGGGUUGUAAAGCUCUUUUAUCCGGGACGAUAAUGACGGUACCGGAGGAAUAAGCCCCGGCUAACUUCGUG
RNAcentral lists this ribosomal RNA (435 nucleotides) under uncultured bacterium. RNAcentral's name for it is "partial 16S ribosomal RNA". It matches the Rfam family "Bacterial small subunit ribosomal RNA", at positions 29 to 507 of the family's 1533-position model. The record is from RNAcentral.